RNAcentral lists this long non-coding RNA (1429 nucleotides) under Gallus gallus (chicken). RNAcentral's name for it is "lncRNA (ENSGALG00010010162.1)". The record is from RNAcentral. Lineage: Eukaryota; Metazoa; Chordata; Aves; Galliformes; Phasianidae.
AACCAAUGGACGCGUCGCCGAACGUCACGUUGUUCAUACAGCCCUAUGGGGGGGGGGGGGAGAAUGGGGUCACGUGGUACUAUAACGGGUGUGGGGUCACGUGGUACUAUAAGGGGUAUGGGGUCAUACAGCCCUAUGGGGGUAUGGGGUCACGUGGUACUAUAACGGGUAUGGGGUCAUACAGCCCUAUGGGGGAAUGGGGUCACGUGGGUACUAUAGGGGUAUGGGGUCACACAGCCCUAUGGGGGAAUGGGGUCACACAGCCCUAUGGGGGGGGGAAUGGGGUCACGUGGUACUAUAGGGGUAUGGGGUCAGACAGCCCUAUGGGGGGAAUGGGGUCAUGUGGUACUAUAACGGGUAUGGGGUCAUACAGCCCUAUGGGGGGAAUGGGGUCAUACAGCCCUAUGGGGGUAUGGGGUCACGUGGUACUAUAACGGGUAUGGGGUCAUACAGCCCUAUGGGGGUAUGGGGUCAGACAGCCCUAUAAUGGGUAUGGGUGGUAUGGGGUCAUACAGCCCUAUAGGGUUAUGGGGUCACGUGGUACUAUAAGGGGUAUGGGGUCACACAGCCCUAUGGGGGGGGAAUGGGGUCACGUGGUACUAUAGGGGUAUGGGGUCAGACAGCCCUAUGGGGGGAAUGGGGUCAGACAGCCCUAUGGGGGGAAUGGGGUCACGUGGUACUAUAACGGGUAUGGGGUCACACAGCCCUAUGGGGGAAUGGGGUCACACAGCCCUAUAAGAGGUAUGGGGACAGACAGCCCUAUAGGGGUAUGGGGUCAUGUGGUACUAUAACGGGUAUGGGGUCAUACAGCCCUAUGGGGGCAAUGGGGUCACACAGCCCUAUGAGGGCAAUGGGGUCAGACAGCCCUAUGGGGCAAUAGGGUCAGACAGCCCUAUAACGGCUAUGGGUGGUAUGGGGUCACACAGCCCUGUGGGGGUAUGGGGUCAGAUGGCCCUAUGGGGGAAUGGGGUCACGUGGUACUAUAAGGGGUAUGGGGUCACACGCUCGCUAUCUGGCAGUGCCGGGGAAUGGUAUGGAUCCCUAUAGGAUUCUUGCUGGUUCACUUUGUGGCAAUACCUGGAUCUGUAUGGCUCCCUAUGGGGUUUCCAAACGGAUCACUUUGUGGCAAUACCAGGAUGGCUCUGGCUCCCUAAGGGAUUCCCAGUGGCUCCCUUUGUGGCAGUACCUGAAUCUCUCUGGGUCCCUAUGAGGUUCCCAACGGCUCCCUUUGUGGCAGUACCUCAUGUCUGUAUGGCUCCCUAUAUGACUCACCACAGCUCCCUUUGUGGCAGUACCUGGGGUCUAUAUGACUCCCUAUGGGACUCCCCAUAGCUCCCUUUGUGGCAGUACCUGAAUCUCUCUGGCUCCCUAUGGGGCUCCCCACGGCUCCCUUUGUGGCAGUACCAGGAUGGCUCUGGCUCCCUAUGGG